GACGAACGCUGGCGGCGUGCUUAACACAUGCAAGUCGAACGGAAAGGCCCUGCUUUUGUGGGGUGCUCGAGUGGCGAACGGGUGAGUAACACGUGAGCAACCUGCCCUUGACUUUGGGAUAACUUCAGGAAACUGGGGCUAAUACCGGAUAGGAGCUCCUGCUGCAUGGUGGGGGUUGGAAAGUUUCGGCGGUUGGGGAUGGACUCGCGGCUUAUCAGCUUGUUGGUGGGGUAGUGGCUUACCAAGGCUUUGACGGGUAGCCGGCCUGAGAGGGUGACCGGCCACAUUGGGACUGAGAUGCGGCCCAGACUCCUACGGGAGGCAGCAGUGGGGAAUAUUGCACAAUGGGCGGAAGCCUGAUGCAGCAACGCCGCGUGCGGGAUGACGGCCUUCGGGUUGUAAACCGCUUUCGCCUGUGACGAAGCGUGAGUGACGGUAAUGGGUAAAGAAGCACCGGCUAACUACGUG
Molecule: ribosomal RNA, 468 nt
Filed under: uncultured bacterium
Lineage: Bacteria
Description: partial 16S ribosomal RNA
Rfam family: Bacterial small subunit ribosomal RNA
Source: RNAcentral